This 497-nucleotide ribosomal RNA is filed under the name uncultured bacterium. Its description in RNAcentral is "partial 16S ribosomal RNA". It matches the Rfam family "Bacterial small subunit ribosomal RNA", at positions 28 to 507 of the family's 1533-position model. The record is from RNAcentral.
GAUGAACGCUGGCGGCGUGCCUAAUACAUGCAAGUCGAGCGAACAGACGAGGAGCUUGCUCCUCUGACGUUAACGGCUGAGGGGUUAGUAAUACGUGGAUAAUCUACCUAUAAGACUGGGAUUACUUCGGUAAACCGGAGCUAAUACCGGAUAAUAUAUUCAACCGCAUGGUUCAAUAUGGAAAGACGGUUUUGCUGUCACUUAUCGUUCGAUACCCGCCGCAUUGACUAGUUGUUAAGGUAACGGCUUACCCAGGCAACGAUGCGUAGCCGACCUGAGGGGGUGAUCGGACACACUGGAACUGAGACUCAUUACAGACUCCGACGGUAGGACACAGUCGGGACUCCUACGCGAUGGGGCAGAGCGGGACGGAACAAAGCCGCGUGAAUGAUGAUGGUCUUAUGAUCGUAAAGCUAUGUUAGUCGGGAAGAAGAAAUGUGUAAGUAACUAUGCACGUAUUGACGGUACCUGAUCAGAAAGCCACGGCUAACUACGUG